AUGUUCCCCAUUCUUGAAUGCACCAACUUCUCUCCACUAGUCCCCAGCUUCUCCCUACUGGAUCGCUGCUUCUCUGUACUUGACCGACGCUUAUCUCCAGUGGAUCUCAACUCCUCUCCACUUGUCCCCAGAUUCUCAACCCUGGAUCCCCGCCUCUCUCCCCUAGAUCCCCUCCUCUCUGCCCUGGACCCACGCCUCUCUCUCCUGGGUACUAGCUUCUCUCCACUUGUCCCCAGAUUCUCNNNNNNNNNNNNNNNNNNNNNNCUCCUGGGUACUAGCUUCUCUCCACUUGUCCCCAGAUUCUCUACCCUGGAUCCCCGCCUCUCUCCCCUGGAUCCCCACCUCUCUCCCCUGGAUCCCCGCUUCUCUCCCCUGGAUCCUCCCCUCUCUCCCCUAGAUCCCCGCCUCUCUUCCCUGGACUCCAGCUUCUCUGCACUCAAAUACAGCUUCUCUCCACUUGAUCUCAGCUUCUCUCCACUCGAAUUCAGCUUCUCUCCACUGGAUCUCAGCUCCUCUCUACUCGAUCUCAGUUUCUCUCCACUGGGACUCAGUUUCUCUCCACUUGACCUCAGUUUCUCUCCACUUGACCUCAGUUUCUCUAAGCUUGACCUCAGUUUCUCUAAGCUUGACCUCAGCUCCUCCUCAUUCUGCUUUACUUCGUAUCCUCGGGCUCUCAAGACCUCUCCACUGGUUUCCACGUCAGUAAACUUCAACUUCUCUUUAAACUCAGGCCCCUUCCGAGAUCCCGCUACAGUCCCUGCACUCUCAGAUUCAGCCUCUACUCUGUGUCUGAAUUCUUGCUUUCCCCACAUCUCCUUUGAUAUGUCUUUCCGCAAACCGGCCGAAACCUGUAAUGCACUUGAUACACUGCGCACUCGUUUCACAUCCAUCCUUUCCGGACUCCGGCCUGACUUUCCUCUUAAGACUGUCUUUUCCACAUCUUCCAGUCUCCAGUUCUCAGACUCAAGCUUCAGGUCCCACGUUUUAGGUUUUUGCGUCUUUCUACCCAGGAGCUCCAUUUUCCUCCCAAUGACGAUGAGCCCGUUCCAGGGCAUCCAUAACGUUUCUCGCAUCUUCUGCGCCCCUCUGCUUCCCGGUUCCAGUUGCGACCGCCCGAAGGUCCUGGCCUGGCCUCGGGCGCCCUGGCAGCGGGCCUUGUCGCGCCCCUUUGCCGCCCUUUGUGGCUUACCCCGCCACUCCCUCCUGUCCCAGAGCGGAUAUCCAAACGGAGCCCCUUUCUCCGAAGACAUCACGCCUCUCCCCGGUCCCUAG
This 1272-nucleotide long non-coding RNA is filed under the name Capra hircus (goat). RNAcentral describes it as "lncRNA (ENSCHIG00010029054.1)". Lineage: Eukaryota; Metazoa; Chordata; Mammalia; Artiodactyla; Bovidae. The record is from RNAcentral.